RNAcentral lists this long non-coding RNA (593 nucleotides) under Homo sapiens (human). RNAcentral describes it as "HSALNT0380313". The record is from RNAcentral. Lineage: Eukaryota; Metazoa; Chordata; Mammalia; Primates; Hominidae.
GACACUAUGGCAGGCCAACUUACUAGCUUUCAAGUAAGGUAACAUCUCAGACCAUCAUAGGUUUUGACAGGGGAAACUCUGAAGGACCACAGGAGUUGGAGGUUCCACGUAUCUCUAAGUAGUAACAUACGAUGGGUCCAAAACAGAAGAAAGAGAACUCAAGAUUCCCGAGCCACAGAGCUGUUGAUUGGAGGCUGACUCAGAGAAACCCUGGAUUCAGUGACAUACAGAGACAACAGGUACAGGAUCAGUAUGGGUUUUAAUUGAGGGGCUCGGCACCAAAUGACAGACUUGACACAUCCACCCCCACCAUGGAUGCUGUCCGUCCACUGUUGCACAAUGUCCUUCAGUGUCUAAUUUACAGAUCCAGCUGUAUUUCCCCUUCCACCUGCAUCCCUGAAGUUCCUCCCACCUGAAAACUUCACCUGACCCAAGAAAGCAAAGGAAAAAACCCGGAGAGCCAGCUCAUAGUCUGGUUCACUGUUUAACAGCCAGAAGCCAGAGCCUGCGUACUAGAAGUGGAUGCCCAGGAAGUACUUGUGAGCUGACUAAGAAUUCAAUGGAGGACCAGCCCUGUAAGAUUUGGAAGUGCA